Molecule: ribosomal RNA, 494 nt
Filed under: uncultured bacterium
Lineage: Bacteria
Description: bacterial SSU rRNA
Rfam family: Bacterial small subunit ribosomal RNA
Source: RNAcentral
AAAUGAAUUGACGGGGGCCCGCACAAGCGGCGGAGCAUGUGGAUUAAUUCGAUGCAACGCGAAGAACCUUACCUGGGCUUGACAUACACCGGAUCGCUGCAGAGAUGUAGCUUCCCUUGUGGUCGGUGUACAGGUGGUGCAUGGUUGUCGUCAGCUCGUGUCGUGAGAUGUUGGGUUAAGUCCCGUAACGAGCGCAACCCUUGUCUUAUGUUGCCAGCACGUGAUGGUGGGGACUCAUGAGAGACUGCCGGGGUCAACUCGGAGGAAGGUGGGGAUGACGUCAAAUCAUCAUGCCCCUUAUGUCCAGGGCUUCACACAUGCUACAAUGGUCGGUACAGCAGGUUGCCAGCUCGCAAGAGUGCGCUAAUCCUCUAAAGCCGGCCUCAGUUCGGAUUGGGGUCUGCAACUCGACCCCAUGAAGUCGGAGUCGCUAGUAAUCGCAGAUCAGCAACGCUGCGGUGAAUACGUUCCCGGGCCUUGUACACACCGCCCGU